CCGGAGGGGAGAUCUGUUGCAUGGACUACAGACCAGAGUGGCAGGUAUCUUGGGCUGGUACUAUUAUGUGACUAUGCCAACAUCCACCUUCACUAUUGCCAUUGGGUGCUGUCAGGAAGUUAAACAGCAGCCCUUCACAGCUGAGGUUCAGACAAACAAUGCAUUUUCCUUGCCAUUUUCCCGAGCUGAUCUCAGAUGGCAUGAAGAAUGCUGUGGUCAUGUGCUGUUUUCAAAAAUCCUGUUGCCAGGUUGCAGGCAGUCACUCCUUAUAGUCUUUGCUCCCUGGUGCCUUAUGGAAAGCUGCAAAGAACUUGUACCCCAGUGCCUCUCUGCUGCUUACACCACACUGGGUACCCAUCCCUUCUCCAGACUUGAUGUUUUGAUAGUCCCUUCCAACUUUUCCAGUCUGGGAAUGGCUAGGUAAAGAAAUGUCUUGGUCUCUCCUUUUGUAUUUUGUUAGGCUGUCAUGAGGGUGAAAAUCCAUUCAUAGCCAAUGUUUAGAUACGCUGUUGUAAUGAAUGCCUGUCCUUCACUUGAUUUAGAUCUUUCAGUCUUUUUUUUUUUUUUCUGGCUUGCCUAUGGAAAAAGAGGGAGAAAAUUAAAGGUUAAUGUUUGUUUGG
Non-coding RNA from Struthio camelus australis, 620 nucleotides. The record is from RefSeq and is a predicted model, not a curated record. Lineage: Eukaryota; Metazoa; Chordata; Aves; Struthioniformes; Struthionidae.